This 874-nucleotide ribosomal RNA is filed under the name uncultured bacterium. RNAcentral's name for it is "bacterial SSU rRNA". It matches the Rfam family "Bacterial small subunit ribosomal RNA", at positions 623 to 1505 of the family's 1533-position model. The record is from RNAcentral.
CGUACUGAUACAGCUAGUCUGCAGGAGGAGUGAGCGUAGUACUUCCUGCAGAUGGGCUGAACUGGGUAGCGAUCUGAGAGUGGCCAGUGAGACGACGCAUUCAGGUCUAACACUUACACUGAUGUUGCAACAGCGGGGUAGCAACUAGGAUUUGAUACUCUUGUAGUGCACGCAGUAAAGAAUGUAGACCAGCUCUCACUGCAUAGCGCUCUGUGCGUGGAUACUCACACGUCAGAUCUACCGCUCGGGGAGUACGGCCGUCAGGUAGAAACUCAAGUGAUUUGCCGUGGGCCCGCACAAGCCGUGGAGCAUGUGGUGUAAUUGGAUGCAACGCGAAGAACCUUACCUACUCUUGACAUCGUGCGAAUUCGGUAGAGAUACCUUAGUGCCUUCGGGAACGCAGAGACAGGUGCUGCAUGGCUGUCGUCAGACUCGUGUUGUGAAAUGUCGGGUUAAGUCCCGUAACGAGCGCAACCCUUGUCAUUAUUUGCCAGCGCGUAAUGGCGGGAACUAUAAGGAGACUGCCGGUGACAAACCGGAGGAAGGUGGGGAUGACGUCAAGUCAUCAUGGCCCUUACGAGUAGGGCUACACACGUGCUACAAUGGUCGGUACAAAGGGUUGCCAACUCGCGAGAGUGAGCCAAUCCCGAAAAGCCGAUCUCAGUCCGGAUCGGAGUAGGCAACUCGACUCCGUGAAGUCGGCAUCGAUAGUAAUAGUAGAUCAGAACGAUCCGGUGAAUACGUUCCCGGGCUUCGUACACACCGCCCGUCACACCAUGGGAGUGGACCGCACCAGAAGUGGUUAGCAUAACGCAAGAGGAAGAUCACCACGGUGGAUUCAUGACUGGGGGAAGUAGUAACAAGGUAACCGUAA